UGGGAUUAGCAGCGCAGCCUGGCCAGGCACAGUGGCUCACACCUGUAGUCCCAACACUCUGGGAGGCCGAGGCAGGAGUCGCUUCAGCCCAGGAGUUCAACACCAGCCUGGACGAUAUGGAGAGACCCUGUCUCUGCAAAAAAGUACAAAAAUUAGCUGGGCGUGGUGGCAUGCACCUAUAGUCCCAGCUACUCAGGAGGCUGAGUUGGGAGGAUGGCUUGAGACCAGGGAGGUUAAGGCUGCAGUGAGCUGUGAUCACAUCAGUGCACUCCAGCCUGGGCAACAGAGCAAGACCCUGUCUCAAAAAAAAAAGCAGGAGCAGCACCUUAGUGCCAAAGAAAAGUCUACCUUUCCUCCCAGAGCCUCCUGGGCCAGGCUGAGUGGCUUGGGGAACACCACGUGACUGGCUUCACUCCCCAGGGCAGACAACUGCUGGCCUCUCAUCCCCUCCCCUCCCCUUUGCUGCCACUGACCUCCAUCCACACGGUUUCCUUAAGCAGAGCUUUUCUCCUCCUCUUCUCUGCUAGUGAAGCACUGCUUACCCUCCUAGCCUGCAGCAAGCCCUGCCCUGCCCCAUCUUUCUACCCAAUUUCUCGCUCUUCUGUUUCACACUCAUUUCUUUUUACUUUGGACUAAUUGUGGCUGUUGGGACUUUGGCUUGAUUGCUAAAAUACUUUACUUGUACUUCCUGAUGAUACAAACAAUCCUGCCCACUUCCUCUGCCAGAUAUUGCACCCACUCGUCAGGAUUUGUGCGUCCUUGACUCUGCCCCACCCAGUGCUCCCAGCAGGGGCAGGUGCAGGAAGCUCACUAGGUGGAGAUGUUGGAAUUGGUUUUUCUUGCAGACAAAGACCUGCGGACCAAGGGCUUCAGCCUAGAGUCGUGCCGCAGCAUGGUGAACCUCAUGGAUGUAUCCUUCCGUUUGCUUUUGUCUCCGGAGUGGGGUUUUGGGUGGAGGUAUCGGUGCUGGGAGAACUGUCCCAGGACAGCACAGAGAACAGGACAGAGCCAUGCGGAGUGUGGACACACAGUGCCCCAUGCUCAGAUGUCUCCCUGGACGUCUUCCUGUUGGUUGGGAGGGAGAAACUGAGGCACAGACCUGUGUCAAGUGAAAGGUGGAGCAAGACCUGGGUCCCCAUUGACCCUGAGGCUGGUGCUAUUUCUGACCCCUCCCCAGCCCACUCCACUGCAGCCCAGCUCAGAGAACGAGGCAAGCCUGGCUGUGGGCUGACUGUACAUGGCUUUUGCUGCUUCUCCUCACCCAGCCCCAAGUUGGCUUGCCGGCUCGGCGGCCAUCUCCCCUUCUGCACAGUUGCCCACUCUCCCAUGACUGGUCUAAGUGAUGGAAUUUCCUUCUUAACGGCCACCCAGCGUGAUGGCAAUGGGAAGCUGGGCCUGGUGGAGUUCAACAUCCUGUGGAACCGCAUCCGGAAUUACCUGUCCAUCUUCCGGAAGUUUGACCUGGACAAGUCGGGCAGCAUGAGUGCCUACGAGAUGCGGAUGGCCAUUGAGUCGGCAGGCUUCAAGCUCAACAAGAAGCUGUACGAGCUCAUCAUCACCCGCUACUCGGAGCCCGACCUGGCGGUCGACUUUGACAAUUUCGUUUGCUGCCUGGUGCGGCUAGAGACCAUGUUCCGAUUUUUCAAAACUCUGGACACAGAUCUGGAUGGAGUUGUGACCUUUGACUUGUUUAAGGUGGGAACCUCCCUGGGCCCAUGGUUGGGGAAGAGUUCCAGGCGAUCGAGUUUUCUUAUCUGGCCAGUGUUCCCUGUCCUUUCCUGGAAAUGAGCCUGGGCCUCAGAGCCAACCCUGAAGGCCGGGCCACCUGAAUCCUGAAAGGCUGGGGUGGGGGUGUCUGGAUUCUGGGAAAGGAGCAGGAGGGGAGGUCCAGGCCCUUGGAGGCCCCUAUGGGAGCAGCACUCUGGUUUCCCAAGGGUGGAGGAGGUAAGAAAGUAACCCCUCCAUGAAGUCCCUGAGGUGGCUCCUGAGCCGUGGAGUUGGGGGCUGGACCUGGGGUUUGGGUGGGGAAGAAGCCAGGGAGCCAUUUCUGCGGCCCCAGCCGACCUGCCUGUUCUCCCGCAGUGGUUGCAGCUGACCAUGUUUGCAUGAGGCAGGGACUCGGUCCCCCUUGCCGUGCUCCCCUCCCUCCUCGUCUGCCAAGCCUCGCCUCCUACCACACCACACCAGGCCACCCCAGCUGCAAGUGCCUUCCUUGGAGCAGAGAGGCAGCCUCGUCCUCCUGUCCCCUCUCCUCCCAGCCACCAUCGUUCAUCUGCUCCGGGCAGAGCUGUGAGGCCCCUGCCUGCGCCAGCCAUGGGCUCGGGAUGGACUCCCUGGGCCCCACCCAUUGCCAAGCCAGGAAGGCAGCUUUCGCUUGUUCCUGCCUCGGGACAGCCCCGGGUUUCCCCAGCAUCCUGAUGUGUCCCCUCUCCCCACUUCAGAGGCCACCCACUCAGCACCACCGGCCUGGCCUUGCCUGCAGACUAUAAACUAUAACCACUAGCUCGACACAGUCUGCAGUCCAGGCAUGUGGAGCCGCCUCCCGGCUUGGGGAGGCCCCGGGGCUGGGAACGCCUGUGCCUUCCUGCGCCGAAGCCAACGCCCCCUCUGUCCUUCCCUGGCCCUGCUGCCGACCAGGAGCUGCCCAGCCUGUGGGCGGUCGGCCUUCCCUCCUGCGCUCCUUUUUUAUAUUAGUGAUUUUAAAGGGGACUCUUCAGGGACUUGUGUACUGGUUAUGGGGGUGCCAGAGGCACUAGGCUUGGGGUGGGGAGGUCCCGUGUUCCAUAUAGAGGAACCCCAAAUAAUAAAAGGCCCCACAUCUGUCUGUG
Molecule: small RNA, 2828 nt
Filed under: Pan troglodytes (chimpanzee)
Lineage: Eukaryota; Metazoa; Chordata; Mammalia; Primates; Hominidae
Description: retained intron
Source: RNAcentral